RNAcentral lists this long non-coding RNA (1754 nucleotides) under Heterocephalus glaber (naked mole-rat). Its description in RNAcentral is "lncRNA (ENSHGLG00100037539.1)". The record is from RNAcentral. Lineage: Eukaryota; Metazoa; Chordata; Mammalia; Rodentia; Bathyergidae.
CAGGCCGGCGCGUUAACAUAGGACCACGUCGGGCAUGCGCAUACUGCACGCAUGCAUCAGAGCAUGCGUACUUCCAUCUGAGAUUCUGCCAGGUUGAACAAGACUCGGCCUUUGUGAGGCGUGCUCAGAUCCUCAGAGGAAGUGACAGACAGGCCUUUUACUUGAAGUGAAAUCACUUUUGGGAGGUAUUUCCUGAGGACGUCUCAUUCACUCACGUGGUAUCUGGCACCCUGGGCUGUGGGAUUGCAUGUGGAAUAAAUGAAGUCUUCGGACCUCGGCCAUGGUGGCAGCCAUUGUUUGAUACUUGUGCAUGUAGCACUGGUGACUCAAGCCAGUGGGACAAUCGAAUUCAAAUCAGAGCCACCCAGCAGUGAGACAUAGGAGUCACAGCCCCAUCAUGAAUGUGUUAACCUAACCAAGAAGUGGAAGACCUCAGCAACCAAAACUGCAGUACUCUGAAAAAGGAGAUUCAAGAGGACAUUAGAAAGUUGAAAGAUAGUCCUUGUAUCUGGAGAGGCAGAAUCAAUAUUGUCAAAAUAAUCAUACUGCCAAAAUUGAUACAGAGAUUUGAUGCAGUCCCCAAAUACCUGCUCCAUCCCUCGCAGAACUAGAGAAGACAGUCCUCUGAUGGAAGCAGAAGAGACUCAGAGCAGCAAAAGCAAUGUGAGCAACAAGAGCAAAGCUGGAGGCAUCACGAUGCCCGACGUCACGUCCUAUUGCAAGGCUACAGUGAUACAAAGAGCGUGGUGUUGGCGCAAAACAGACAUGUGGACCAGUGAACAGAGCAGCGGAUGCAGAAACAACCCCACGCACAUUCAGCUGUUUGAUCGUUGACAUAGGGGCCAAACGCAUUUGCUAGAGGAAAGACAGCCUCUGUAGCAAGUGGUGCUGGAAAAAACAGAUAUCCAUAUGCUGAAGAUGGAAGCUGUACCCAUGUGUCUCAUAAUGUACCAAGCUUACAUCAAAACGGAUUAAAGAUCUAAAUGUUAAAACAGAGACACUUAAUCUGCUGGAAGAUAAAAUAGGUAAAAAUUUUGAAGUUAUGGGCACAGGCAUGGACUUUCUGAACAGAACUCCAACUGUGUAAGAAAUAACAGCAAGAAUCAACAAAUGGUAUUAUAUCAAAUUAAAAAUCUUCUCUCAGCAAAGGAAACAACAGAAUGAAAAAUUUUUAUCAGCCAAACCUCAGACAGAGGACUACAAUCUAGAACAUGUAAAUAAUUAAAAAGAAUUAGAUGCCCCAAAUAAAAGUCCUAAGCAAAAAAUGGGCACCUGAAAUGAAUAGACACUUCUCAGAAGAAGCAAUAUAAAUGGCCAGUAAAUACAUGAAAAAAUGUUCAAUUUGACUGGCUACUAGAGAAAUGCAAAUUAAAAGGACACUAUUUCAUCACACCUCAGAAAGAAUGGCAGUCAUCAAGAAAUCAAGUGAUAACAAAUGCUGGCCAGUCUCCAGUGAAAAAGGAAGCUUCUCCAUUGUUGAUGGAAAUGUAAAGUAGUGCAAGGAAUCAGUACGGAGAUUUCUCAAAAACCUAAAAGCAGAAAUUCUGCUUAACCUAUUCCCCUUCUGGGUAUCUUCCUAAAAGAGCUAAAGAUACCAUAUUAGAGUGAUACAUGAAUACCAAUAUUCAUAGCAACAUAAUUCAUAAUAGCUAAUUUUUGGAAGCAGCCUAUAUGUUCAUUAAUAGAUGAAUGGAUAAAGAAAAUGUGAUAUCUUUACAUAAUGGAAUACUACUUAGGUAUUAAGAAUGAUAAAU